Molecule: long non-coding RNA, 251 nt
Filed under: Gallus gallus (chicken)
Lineage: Eukaryota; Metazoa; Chordata; Aves; Galliformes; Phasianidae
Description: long non-coding RNA NONGGAT005162
Source: RNAcentral
GGCCAGUAAAGGUGUUGGGAAGGGUUUCAGCAGAUGGAUAACAAUAUGUGCAGAGGACAGGAAAGAAUAAAGCAACUUGGUAAAACGAAGAUCACAUAUUGCAAAACCUACUGACUGAAACCACGAAGCUCAGCAUCUGCCAGCAAAGGCUGCCUGAGGAAUUAAAGCACAGAAUCAGAGACAAUUACAGGAAUGCAGGACAAAAUUCAGACACUGGAGGUCAUCAGAUAGGCUUGCAAAAACAAACAGGC